CGUGACUGGCGCAAGCUGCACACUUCUGCGGAAGUAAAUUUGCCUUGCUGAGAAAAUUUCUGUUUGAGUGCUAUUUCUUUUGCAGCACUGAAGCUUGUUUCUAACAAAUUUGGGGGUUCGUCCAGGAUUCCCAUUCUCCUCUGGGGAAGGGUCCAGUCCUCUCCUGUGAGGAGGUGUGCCCUGCUGCCUCAUUGCAGUGGACUCAGGGGUAAGGAAUCAAGACCCACCUGGUGUGACGAAUAAACCUGGACUCUCAGCAAUGCAGGAAAAAACAGACCAACAACUUGGGAAAAAAAAAGAAAAAGAUCAUCAUAUACCAUGGCAACCAGCUUUCUGAAUCCCAGCGAAACCAUUAGGUCUGAGAAGAAUGCUCAGCAAGUCAAUGAGAUGCACCGAAAACUGCCACGCCUGCAGCCAGCAUUGAUCAACAGAAAGGGUCCAAUUCUCCAUGACAAUGCCCGACCUCAUGUCGC
This 473-nucleotide long non-coding RNA is filed under the name Homo sapiens (human). The record is from RNAcentral. Lineage: Eukaryota; Metazoa; Chordata; Mammalia; Primates; Hominidae.